RNAcentral lists this ribosomal RNA (244 nucleotides) under uncultured bacterium. RNAcentral's name for it is "partial 16S ribosomal RNA". It matches the Rfam family "Bacterial small subunit ribosomal RNA", at positions 116 to 353 of the family's 1533-position model. The record is from RNAcentral.
CGUAGGUAACCUGCCUUGUAGCGGGGGAUAACUAUUGGAAACGAUAGCUAAUACCGCAUAACAAUGGAUGACACAUGUCAUUUAUUUGAAAGGGGCAAUUGCUCCACUACAAGAUGGACCUGCGUUGUAUUAGCUAGUAGGUGAGGUAAUGGCUCACCUAGGCGACGAUACAUAGCCGACCUGAGAGGGUGAUCGGCCACACUGGGACUGAGACACGGCCCAGACUCCUACGGGAGGCAGCAUG